AACGAACGCUGGCGGCGUGCCUAACACAUGCAAGUCGAGCGCGAAAGAGCAAUCUGAGUAGAGCGGCGCACGGGUGCGUAACACGUGGGUAAUCUGCCUCAAGGUCUGGGAUAACCUUCCGAAAGGUUGGCUAGUACCAGGUAAGCUCAAGGUGACUUCGGUCGCUGAGAGAAAAGGGGCCCGAAAGGGUCUCGCCAUGAGAUGAGCCCGCGGCCCAUCAGCUAGUGGUGAGGUAACGGCCCACCAAGGCUACGACGGGUAGCUGGUCUGAGAGGACGAUCAGCCACACUGGAACUGAGACACGGUCCAGACUCCUACGGGAGGCAGCAGUGGGGAAUUUUGCACAAUGGGCGAAAGCCUGAUGCAGCAACGCCGCGUGUGUGAUGAAGGUCUUCGGAUCGUAAAGCACUUUCGACCGGACGAACAAGCCUGGCCACACCAGGCCCUGACGGUACCGGGAGAAGAAGCACCGGCUAACUCUGUGCCA
RNAcentral lists this ribosomal RNA (487 nucleotides) under uncultured bacterium. RNAcentral describes it as "bacterial SSU rRNA". It matches the Rfam family "Bacterial small subunit ribosomal RNA", at positions 29 to 510 of the family's 1533-position model. The record is from RNAcentral.